AGCAGCCGCGGUAAUUCCAGCUCCAAUAGCGUAUAUUAAAGUUGCUGCAGUUAAAAAGCUCGUAGUUGAAUUUCGGGAUCAAUAUGUUGGUCGUGCCUCGGUACGUACUAGCUUAUUGGUUUCUCCCUUCUGACGAACCAUGAUGUCAUUUAUUUGGUGUUAUGGGAAAUCAGGACUGUUACUUUGAAAAAAUUAGGGUGUUUAAAGCAGGCUCACGCUUGAAUACAUUAGCAUGGAAUAAUGAAAUAGGACGUUUGAUUCUAUUUUGUUGGUUUCUAGGAUCGACGUAAUGAUUAAUAGGGAUAGUUGGGGGCAUUAGUAUUCAAUUGUCAGAGGUGAAAUUCUUGGAUUUAUUGAAGACUAACUACUGCGAAAGCAUUUGCCAAGGAUGUUUUCAUUAAUCAAGUACGAAAGUUAGGGGAUCGAAGACGAUCAGAUACCGUCGUAGUCUUAACCAUAAACUAUGCCGACUAGGGAUCGGAUGAUGUUAAUUUUUUAAUGACUCAUUCGGCGCCUUACG
This 520-nucleotide unclassified non-coding RNA is filed under the name uncultured Glomus. RNAcentral describes it as "SSU rRNA". It matches the Rfam family "Eukaryotic small subunit ribosomal RNA", at positions 569 to 1092 of the family's 1831-position model. Lineage: Eukaryota; Fungi; Glomeromycota; Glomeromycetes; Glomerales; Glomeraceae. The record is from RNAcentral.